RNAcentral lists this ribosomal RNA (2330 nucleotides) under Escherichia coli. Its description in RNAcentral is "partial 23S ribosomal RNA". It matches the Rfam family "Bacterial large subunit ribosomal RNA", at positions 614 to 2925 of the family's 2925-position model. The record is from RNAcentral. Lineage: Bacteria; Pseudomonadati; Pseudomonadota; Gammaproteobacteria; Enterobacterales; Enterobacteriaceae.
AAUGGGUCAGCGACUUAUAUUCUGUAGCAAGGUUAACCGAAUAGGGGAGCCGAAGGGAAACCGAGUCUUAACUGGGCGUUAAGUUGCAGGGUAUAGACCCGAAACCCGGUGAUCUAGCCAUGGGCAGGUUGAAGGUUGGGUAACACUAACUGGAGGACCGAACCGACUAAUGUUGAAAAAUUAGCGGAUGACUUGUGGCUGGGGGUGAAAGGCCAAUCAAACCGGGAGAUAGCUGGUUCUCCCCGAAAGCUAUUUAGGUAGCGCCUCGUGAAUUCAUCUCCGGGGGUAGAGCACUGUUUCGGCAAGGGGGUCAUCCCGACUUACCAACCCGAUGCAAACUGCGAAUACCGGAGAAUGUUAUCACGGGAGACACACGGCGGGUGCUAACGUCCGUCGUGAAGAGGGAAACAACCCAGACCGCCAGCUAAGGUCCCAAAGUCAUGGUUAAGUGGGAAACGAUGUGGGAAGGCCCAGACAGCCAGGAUGUUGGCUUAGAAGCAGCCAUCAUUUAAAGAAAGCGUAAUAGCUCACUGGUCGAGUCGGCCUGCGCGGAAGAUGUAACGGGGCUAAACCAUGCACCGAAGCUGCGGCAGCGACACUAUGUGUUGUUGGGUAGGGGAGCGUUCUGUAAGCCUGUGAAGGUGUACUGUGAGGUAUGCUGGAGGUAUCAGAAGUGCGAAUGCUGACAUAAGUAACGAUAAAGCGGGUGAAAAGCCCGCUCGCCGGAAGACCAAGGGUUCCUGUCCAACGUUAAUCGGGGCAGGGUGAGUCGACCCCUAAGGCGAGGCCGAAAGGCGUAGUCGAUGGGAAACAGGUUAAUAUUCCUGUACUUGGUGUUACUGCGAAGGGGGGACGGAGAAGGCUAUGUUGGCCGGGCGACGGUUGUCCCGGUUUAAGCGUGUAGGCUGGUUUUCCAGGCAAAUCCGGAAAAUCAAGGCUGAGGCGUGAUGACGAGGCACUACGGUGCUGAAGCAACAAAUGCCCUGCUUCCAGGAAAAGCCUCUAAGCAUCAGGUAACAUCAAAUCGUACCCCAAACCGACACAGGUGGUCAGGUAGAGAAUACCAAGGCGCUUGAGAGAACUCGGGUGAAGGAACUAGGCAAAAUGGUGCCGUAACUUCGGGAGAAGGCACGCUGAUAUGUAGGUGAAGCGACUUGCUCGUGGAGCUGAAAUCAGUCGAAGAUACCAGCUGGCUGCAACUGUUUAUUAAAAACACAGCACUGUGCAAACACGAAAGUGGACGUAUACGGUGUGACGCCUGCCCGGUGCCGGAAGGUUAAUUGAUGGGGUCAGCGCAAGCGAAGCUCUUGAUCGAAGCCCCGGUAAACGGCGGCCGUAACUAUAACGGUCCUAAGGUAGCGAAAUUCCUUGUCGGGUAAGUUCCGACCUGCACGAAUGGCGUAAUGAUGGCCAGGCUGUCUCCACCCGAGACUCAGUGAAAUUGAACUCGCUGUGAAGAUGCAGUGUACCCGCGGCAAGACGGAAAGACCCCGUGAACCUUUACUAUAGCUUGACACUGAACAUUGAGCCUUGAUGUGUAGGAUAGGUGGGAGGCUUUGAAGUGUGGACGCCAGUCUGCAUGGAGCCGACCUUGAAAUACCACCCUUUAAUGUUUGAUGUUCUAACGUUGACCCGUGAUCCGGGUUGCGGACAGUGUCUGGUGGGUAGUUUGACUGGGGCGGUCUCCUCCUAAAGAGUAACGGAGGAGCACGAAGGUUGGCUAAUCCUGGUCGGACAUCAGGAGGUUAGUGCAAUGGCAUAAGCCAGCUUGACUGCGAGCGUGACGGCGCGAGCAGGUGCGAAAGCAGGUCAUAGUGAUCCGGUGGUUCUGAAUGGAAGGGCCAUCGCUCAACGGAUAAAAGGUACUCCGGGGAUAACAGGCUGAUACCGCCCAAGAGUUCAUAUCGACGGCGGUGUUUGGCACCUCGAUGUCGGCUCAUCACAUCCUGGGGCUGAAGUAGGUCCCAAGGGUAUGGCUGUUCGCCAUUUAAAGUGGUACGCGAGCUGGGUUUAGAACGUCGUGAGACAGUUCGGUCCCUAUCUGCCGUGGGCGCUGGAGAACUGAGGGGGGCUGCUCCUAGUACGAGAGGACCGGAGUGGACGCAUCACUGGUGUUCGGGUUGUCAUGCCAAUGGCACUGCCCGGUAGCUAAAUGCGGAAGAGAUAAGUGCUGAAAGCAUCUAAGCACGAAACUUGCCCCGAGAUGAGUUCUCCCUGACUCCUUGAGAGUCCUGAAGGAACGUUGAAGACGACGACGUUGAUAGGCCGGGUGUGUAAGCGCAGCGAUGCGUUGAGCUAACCGGUACUAAUGAACCGUGAGGCUUAACCUU